UCCCUGGUGGUCCAGUGGUUAAGACUCUGCACUUCCACUGCAGUGGGCACAGGCUCAAUCCCUAUUAGGGGAA
This 73-nucleotide transfer RNA is filed under the name Bos taurus (domestic cattle). It matches the Rfam family "tRNA". Rfam says of the family: Transfer RNA (tRNA) molecules are approximately 80 nucleotides in length. Their secondary structure includes four short double-helical elements and three loops (D, anti-codon, and T loops). RNAcentral also lists the same sequence under 2 other names. Lineage: Eukaryota; Metazoa; Chordata; Mammalia; Artiodactyla; Bovidae. The record is from Rfam by way of RNAcentral.